CCUUAUGAUUUAGUUCUAUCUUGAUUUAUUAGUAGCUUUCUCAGGAAUGUUGUCAUUGCAGAUUAUAUUAAUCCAACCAAAAAUAUUAUUGUGUUUUGGUGAUAAUCAGUCUAAUGUUAUGUUUUGAAGCAUUAUAAUUUCUUUGCGAUGCAGGGCAUCCAUUACCAAGGAAAAGAAUUGAGGGAGGCUCCAGCUCCACUUGGAUACAAUUUACAUUUUUUUCCCUUUUUCUUUUAUUUUUUGUAUUGUGAAGAUUGAGA
This is a long non-coding RNA of Telopea speciosissima, 260 nucleotides long. RefSeq lists it as uncharacterized. NCBI's taxonomy places the organism in Eukaryota, Viridiplantae, Streptophyta, Magnoliopsida, Proteales, Proteaceae. The record is from RefSeq and is a predicted model, not a curated record. The transcript has 3 exons.